This is a long non-coding RNA of Gorilla gorilla gorilla (western lowland gorilla), 589 nucleotides long. RefSeq lists it as uncharacterized. Lineage: Eukaryota; Metazoa; Chordata; Mammalia; Primates; Hominidae. The transcript has 4 exons. The record is from RefSeq and is a predicted model, not a curated record.
UUUUUGUAAUUGUGAACGUGAGUACCAUGGGCCCUUCUGUGAACUUGAUGUAAAUAAAUGUAAAAUCUCACCUUGUCUAGAUGAAGAGAAUUGUGUCUACAGGACUGAUGGAUACAACUGCCUCCGUGCCCCUGGUUAUACAGGCAUCAAUUGUGAAACAAAUCUAGAUGAAUGCCUAUCAGAGCCCUGUCUCCAUGAUGGAGUUUGUAUUGAUGGCAUCAAUCAUUAUACCUGUGACUGCAAGAGUGGGUUUUUUGGAACACACUGUGAAACAAACGCCAAUGAUUGCCUUUCAAAUCCUUGUCUACAUGGAAGGUGCACAGAACUUAUUAAUGAAUAUCCAUGUUCAUGUGAUGCAGAUGGGACUAGCACACAAUGUAAGAUCAAAAUUAAUGACUGCACAUCAAUCCCUUGUAUGAAUGAAGGCUUCUGUCAGAAGUCAGCACAUGGAUUUACUUGCAUUUGCCCACGUGGAUACACUGGUGCAUACUGUGAAAAAAGCAUUAAUAAUUGUGCUGAGCCUGAACUUAAUUCAGUCAUCUGUCUUAAUGGAGGGAUCUGUGUUGAUGGGCCUGGACAUACUUUUGAC